GGGUUGUGAGGUUAAGCGACUAAGCGUACACGGUGGAUGCCCUGGCAGUCAGAGGCGAUGAAGGACGUGCUAAUCUGCGAUAAGCGUCGGUAAGGUGAUAUGAACCGUUAUAACCGGCGAUUUCCGAAUGGGGAAACCCAGUGUGAUCCGUCACACUAUCAUUGCGUGAAUACAUAGCGUAAUGAAGCGAACCGGGGGAACUGAAACAUCUAAGUACCCCGAGGAAAAGAAAUCAACCGAGAUUCCCCCAGUAGCGGCGAGCGAACGGGGAGCAGCCCAGAGUCUGAAUCAGCUUGUGUGUUAGUGGAACGGUCUGGAAAGUCCGACGGUACAGGGUGAUAGUCCCGUACACCAAAAUGCACAGGUUGUGAACUCGAAGAGUAGGGCGGGACACGUGGUAUCCUGUCUGAAUAUGGGGGGACCAUCCUCCAAGGCUAAAUACUCCUGACUGACCGAUAGUGAACCAGUACCGUGAGGGAAAGGCGAAAAGAACCCCGGCGAGGGGAGUGAAAAAGAACCUGAAACCGUGUACGUACAAGCAGUGGGAGCCUCUUUAUGGGGUGACUGCGUACCUUUUGUAUAAUGGGUCAGCGACUUAUAUUCUGUAGCAAGGUUAACCGUAUAGGGGAGCCGAAGGGAAACCGAGUCUUAACUGGGCGUUAAGUUGCAGGGUAUAGACCCGAAACCCGGUGAUCUAGCCAUGGGCAGGUUGAAGGUUGGGUAACACUAACUGGAGGACCGAACCGACUAAUGUUGAAAAAUUAGCGGAUGACUUGUGGCUGGGGGUGAAAGGCCAAUCAAACCGGGAGAUAGCUGGUUCUCCCCGAAAGCUAUUUAGGUAGCGCCUCGUGAACUCAUCUUCGGGGGUAGAGCACUGUUUCGGCUAGGGGGUCAUCCCGACUUACCAACCCGAUGCAAACUGCGAAUACCGAAGAAUGUUAUCACGGGAGACACACGGCGGGUGCUAACGUCCGUCGUGAAGAGGGAAACAACCCAGACCGCCAGCUAAGGUCCCAAAGUCAUGGUUAAGUGGGAAACGAUGUGGGAAGGCACAGACAGCCAGGAUGUUGGCUUAGAAGCAGCCAUCAUUUAAAGAAAGCGUAAUAGCUCACUGGUCGAGUCGGCCUGCGCGGAAGAUGUAACGGGGCUAAACCAUGCACCGAAGCUGCGGCAGCGACACUAUGUGUUGUUGGGUAGGGGAGCGUUCUGUAAGCCGUUGAAGGUGGCCUGUGAGGGUUGCUGGAGGUAUCAGAAGUGCGAAUGCUGACAUAAGUAACGAUAAUGCGGGUGAAAAACCCGCACGCCGGAAGACCAAGGGUUCCUGUCCAACGUUAAUCGGGGCAGGGUGAGUCGACCCCUAAGGCGAGGCCGAAAGGCGUAGUCGAUGGGAAACAGGUUAAUAUUCCUGUACUUGGUGUUACUGCGAAGGGGGGACGGAGAAGGCUAUGUUAGCCGGGCGACGGUUGUCCCGGUUUAAGCAUGUAGGCGGAGGUUCCAGGUAAAUCCGGUACCUUUUAACGCUGAGGUGUGAUGACGAGGCACUACGGUGCUGAAGUAACAAAUGCCCUGCUUCCAGGAAAAGCCUCUAAGCAUCAGGUAACACGAAAUCGUACCCCAAACCGACACAGGUGGUCAGGUAGAGAAUACCAAGGCGCUUGAGAGAACUCGGGUGAAGGAACUAGGCAAAAUGGUGCCGUAACUUCGGGAGAAGGCACGCUGAUAUGUAGGUGAAGUGAUUUACUCAUGGAGCUGAAAUCAGUCGAAGAUACCAGCUGGCUGCAACUGUUUAUUAAAAACACAGCACUGUGCAAACACGAAAGUGGACGUAUACGGUGUGACGCCUGCCCGGUGCCGGAAGGUUAAUUGAUGGGGUUAUCCGUAAGGAGAAGCUCUUGAUCGAAGCCCCGGUAAACGGCGGCCGUAACUAUAACGGUCCUAAGGUAGCGAAAUUCCUUGUCGGGUAAGUUCCGACCUGCACGAAUGGCGUAAUGAUGGCCAGGCUGUCUCCACCCGAGACUCAGUGAAAUUGAACUCGCUGUGAAGAUGCAGUGUACCCGCGGCAAGACGGAAAGACCCCGUGAACCUUUACUAUAGCUUGACACUGAACACUGGUCCUUGAUGUGUAGGAUAGGUGGGAGGCUUUGAAGUGUGGACGCCAGUCUGCAUGGAGCCAUCCUUGAAAUACCACCCUUUAAUGGCUGGUGUUCUAACGUGGACCCGUAAUCCGGGUUGCGGACAGUGUCUGGUGGGUAGUUUGACUGGGGCGGUCUCCUCCUAAAGAGUAACGGAGGAGCACGAAGGUUAGCUAAUCCUGGUCGGACAUCAGGAGGUUAGUGCAAAGGCAUAAGCUAGCUUGACUGCGAGAGUGACGGCUCGAGCAGGUGCGAAAGCAGGUCUUAGUGAUCCGGUGGUUCUGAAUGGAAGGGCCAUCGCUCAACGGAUAAAAGGUACUCCGGGGAUAACAGGCUGAUACCGCCCAAGAGUUCAUAUCGACGGCGGUGUUUGGCACCUCGAUGUCGGCUCAUCACAUCCUGGGGCUGAAGUAGGUCCCAAGGGUAUGGCUGUUCGCCAUUUAAAGUGGUACGCGAGCUGGGUUUAGAACGUCGUGAGACAGUUCGGUCCCUAUCUGCCGUGGGCGCUGGAGAAUUGAGGGGGGCUGCUCCUAGUACGAGAGGACCGGAGUGGACGCAUCACUGGUGUUCGGGUUGUCAUGCCAAUGGCAUUGCCCGGUAGCUAAAUGCGGAAGAGAUAAGUGCUGAAAGCAUCUAAGCACGAAACUUGCCCCGAGAUGAGUUCUCCCUGAGACUAUAAGUCUCCUGAAGGAACGUUGAAGACGACGACGUUGAUAGGUCGGGUGUGUAAGUGUAGCGAUACAUUGAGCUAACCGAUACUAAUGAACCGUGAGGCUUAACCUUACAACGCCGAAG
This 2927-nucleotide ribosomal RNA is filed under the name Citrobacter freundii. Its description in RNAcentral is "23S ribosomal RNA". It matches the Rfam family "Bacterial large subunit ribosomal RNA". Lineage: Bacteria; Pseudomonadati; Pseudomonadota; Gammaproteobacteria; Enterobacterales; Enterobacteriaceae. The record is from RNAcentral.